Dermacentor albipictus is the source of this 1149-nucleotide long non-coding RNA. RefSeq lists it as uncharacterized. Lineage: Eukaryota; Metazoa; Arthropoda; Arachnida; Ixodida; Ixodidae. The record is from RefSeq and is a predicted model, not a curated record.
UCCGGUGGCACAGGAAAUUGGCGCCAUCUCUGUAAUGGGCGACGCAAAAAUCCGUUUCCCUUGCAUGGCCUCGUAGAUCGUCGCGCGCACGCGCGCCGAUCCAGGUGGCCAAGCCCUUCCCCCCGCUCAACUCCUCUCCUACGCCCUCUCUCCUAAUACCCUCUCAACUCCCUCACCUUCGACUGUCUACGCCCCCGCGCCGCCGUGCCAUCCCCGCCGGCCCGGCUGCUGCUUAGUCCGCUACGUAACGCUUUAUUUUUGUUAUCUACUGUCAUCGACAUGCGUGCGCUGCUGUGCGUUGACCGACGUGGCUAGUUUCGUCAGUUCCGUGGUCCUCGGCAGCUGUGUGCUUGUGCUCCGCGAUGUUUCACCCGUUUCACGACUCGUACCGCUCGUGCAUCGUGCAGUGGUGCACAAAUACCUCAAAAACAAGUCCUGCAAGGUUGUUCCGGGUGCCUAAAGACAACAGGUUAUCUUUGGGCGCAGACGAUUGAACCGUGACGAAAAUACGCCAGCACCAACUAAGCGGAAGGCAAGUGUACAGAUUGUUGUCACUGUGUGGCUGAUAAUGAUUUAUUUCCAUUCCAGAGAAAAACGAGCAGAGACACACGAGAUGAAGAGUCGCGUCAGGUUCCUUCGCAGAGUGUCACUUAUGAUGCACAAGCUUCCACAUUCACCUCGCUUUUGGACAGUUUGGAAUAUGUUGGAGAUAGUGCCAAGACAAUUCUAGACAGCACUUGUGCAUGUCAGGAAACAGAAGAGACUUCCCACAGUGAGCCUGCAAUGUUCACUGAUGCAUUUGAAAGUGAACCAGCUGUAAGUGACCUCCUGCACCACUUACUGGCACAAGUGCUGUUCAAUUCUUUACACAUUAUGAAAGAGUAAGCAGUCGUGUAAAUUCUUCUGCCUCCUUGUAUUGUCAUAUUUAAAGAUAACUCAACUUCAACAGGCUGCAGCACACAUGGAAACCACAUCAUUCAACAAUGUUUUGGGGAAUGAAGAUGUAAGUGCUCACACAGCCAGUCUAGGCUUCUGAACACGGUGCCUGUUUAAGAAGUACACACAUUCACAUGGUUUCUCCUUUCAUAGGCUCAGUGCAAUGAAGAUACGUUUCCCAGCUCUGGCACAGUUUGUGAACCAGAUGUGAGU